This is a long non-coding RNA of Cercocebus atys (sooty mangabey), 1490 nucleotides long. RefSeq lists it as uncharacterized. The transcript has 2 exons. The record is from RefSeq and is a predicted model, not a curated record. NCBI's taxonomy places the organism in Eukaryota, Metazoa, Chordata, Mammalia, Primates, Cercopithecidae.
GACCGCCCAGGGAUAGAGGGGGAGCCUCCCGGGGUGGGGGUAAAGAGGCACAAACCCCUCUGGGUUUUGUUCCCACAGUCCGCCUUACAUUGUUGGAGACUACGGGGCGGGGAGUGGGGGAGGCAGCGCGAUCCUCUACCCUACUCGGAGUCUUAGGGGGUCGGUGGAAGGAAUCGGAGUAGAGCAAAUGUGGGUAAACCCUGGACAGAGAGCGUUGAGACCAACAGACAGGAAGGGAAAGUGUGAAAAAAGUCUGUAGAGGUGACUGUGGAGACAGACGUGACAGGUGUAUGAUGCAAGGGUGGACACGAAGAUAAUAAGGUGACAAAUGGGAAAGGACUAAGGACCGAAUGCCGGGGAAGUUGAAUGCCUUGAGGCUGGUGGGGCAAUAUCCUCUCUUUUCUUCACUUUUUCUCACCUCUGGCAGAUGAGGGUUCUUAUUUGGUGUGUUCUUUGCAAAGGGAGAAAUUCUCAACCACCCCAAUGAUCUAUAUAUCUCUUUAGACCCCAGAUUUCACUCAGUUAUCAAAUACUGAUUAUCAAAGUAUUCGAGGGUGUGUUAUUAAUUUCUUUAUUUGAAAGAUGCUUACCUCCCUAUGAUUUCUAUCCUUUGGUUUUCUUUGUGUCCUCUGGAACUAGUUUUAAUAAAUUAUUCUCUUUUAUGUUGUUGGAGCAGAAAAAGGAGCUCUUUUGCUUUAACAGUUGGAUGAUAUAGAUUCCAGGAAGGAAAAUAUAGCAUACAAGUUUUUAUGUGUAAGACAUUCGUUUUUUGCAUAACAGCUGUCAUAGAAUGGUAGAGCGGGAAGGAAACUUCGAGAUCACUGAAUCAUAACCUCUCAUUUUUCUGUGGUAAAAUUGAGCAAUUCUGCCUGUCUGAUAUAAGACUUCAGGCAAACCUGGAUGUGAAUCCUGGCCUCCACCACCUGACUUUGGGAACAUUCUCUAAGCUCUCAACCUCAGUUUUCUUAUGGCUAAAUGAUAAUAGUAAUAUUUACAUUUCAUGUUUUUUGUAAAGAUUAAAUAAGGUAGCAUAAACAACCUGGCACAAUAUUUGCCACAGGGUAGAGAAUAAAUAGUAGUCACCAUUAAUGUUGAAGAGUUACAUUCAUAUGUGUUUGAGGGGUGCUAAUGAAUGUAAUUUAGUCAGACUUUGAAACAGCAUUUAUCUGGGUUCACCAAUAAAAACUAUCAAAAAGAUAGUCUGCCAUGUGGUAGGAAGGGCAUGGGAUGUUCUAUCAAUGAUAAGCUGAAUCCUUAGCAACAGGUGUUUACUGGGUAGAAGAGUUUCAACAACAGGACCUACUAGAAUCAAUUUUGAAUUGGGAGUAGUACUAGUUUUACUAUUUAUAUCCAGAUAAGGGAAUGAAUUGUGAAAUCCUAAGUUUGUAAAUGACACCACUAUUUUGUGUCCUUAAAUGAUGAGCUAAUGAGCAGUGUGGGUUUUGGAGUUGGUUGAAUUCAUUCAAAUCCCAGAAAAUAAACUGAUGAUA